CUUUUCGCCGUUUCUGUACAGGACAGGAAGUGCAGUUUCUGCAUUUCAGAGGACCAUCACCUGGAGGUAGUAUCCUUCUUUCUCUGAGUAAACAUCCCAUCAUACUACAGCUCCCAUGCACUCAAACUCAGUUGGAAUAGGAAGAAUGUGACCACCAAUCAGCUUCUAAUGCAGGAAGUUGCCAAGCAGUUUUGCAUAAAAGACGAGCCAAUUUCCAAUUUUUGCAGCUCUCUUAGGAAGGAAAAGAUAUCUGUCAAGACCAGCACCCAAUACCAGAACAGUUGCCAAGUACCCUGGUCUCGGCUCAGCUUCACCAGUAGUGUGACCACCGUUGGGCUUCGGGAGGAGCCCUCA
Xenopus laevis (African clawed frog) is the source of this 354-nucleotide long non-coding RNA. RefSeq lists it as uncharacterized. The transcript is spliced from 3 exons. NCBI's taxonomy places the organism in Eukaryota, Metazoa, Chordata, Amphibia, Anura, Pipidae. The record is from RefSeq and is a predicted model, not a curated record.